UUUACUGAGAGUUUGAUCCUGGCUCAGGGUGAACGCUGGCGGCGUGCCUAAGGCAUGCAAGUCGAAUGCUUCUUUCGGGAAGCAUGGCAGACGGGUGAGUAACACAUUAAUAAUCUACCCCAAAGACGGGAAUAAUCCACCGAAAGGAGGAAUAAUACCCGAUGUGCUCUUUUGAUAUAAGUCAAAAGAGUAAAACUCCGGUGCUUUGGGAUGAGUUUAUGGUCUAUCAGCUUGUUGGUGAGGGUAAUGGCCCACCAAGGCUAUGACGGAUAGCGGGCGUGAGAGCGCGACCCGCCUCAUUGGGACUGAGACACUGCCCAAACUCCUACGGGAGGCUGCAGUCAGGAAUAUUCCUCAAUGCGCGAAAGCGUGAAGGAGCGACGCCGCGUGUCCGAAGACGCCCCUCGGGGUGUAAAAGACUUUUGUCAGGGAAGAACCAAUGACGGUACCUGACGAAUAAGGGGCUGCUAAUCACGUGCCAGCAGCAGCGGUAAUACGUGAGCCCCAAGCGUUACCCGGAAUUAUUGGGCGUAAAGAGUCUGUAGGCGGUUUGGUAAGUCACUUGUCAAAUCUUUGUGCUCAACACAGAGACUGCAAGCGAUACUGCCAGACUCGAGACUGGGAGAGGCAAGCGGAACUGCAGGUGUAGGGGUUGUAUCCAUUAAUAUCUGCAGGAACACCAAAUGCGAAGGCAGCUUGCUAGGACAGUACUGACACUAAAGUACGAAAGCGUGGGGAGCGAAGCGGAUUAGAUACCCGCGUAGUCCACGCCGUAAACGCUGGAUACUAGACAUUGGGAGUAUCGACCCUCUCAGUGUCGCUUACAAAAGCUAACGCGUUAAGUAUCCCGCCUGGGGAGUACGGCCGCAAGGCUAAAACUCAAAGGAAUUGACGGGGACUCGCACAAGCGGUGGAUCAUGUGGUUUAAUUCGACAUUAAGCGGAAAACCUCACCAGGACUUGACAUCUAGCUGCAAGCUCUAAGAAACUAGAGCCGCCUUCGAGGGUGCUAGACAGGUGCUGCAUGGUUGUCGUCAGUUCGUGUC
Molecule: ribosomal RNA, 1045 nt
Filed under: Candidatus Falkowiibacteriota bacterium
Lineage: Bacteria; Candidatus Falkowiibacteriota
Description: bacterial SSU rRNA
Rfam family: Bacterial small subunit ribosomal RNA
Source: RNAcentral